This 253-nucleotide ribosomal RNA is filed under the name uncultured bacterium. RNAcentral describes it as "partial 16S ribosomal RNA". It matches the Rfam family "Bacterial small subunit ribosomal RNA", at positions 524 to 776 of the family's 1533-position model. The record is from RNAcentral.
UACAGAGGAGCCAAGCGUUGUCCGGAUUGACUGGGCGUAAAGCGCACGCAGGCGGCAUCGCGCGUGGGGUGUGAAAUCUGGCCGCUUAACGGCCAGGCGCCAUCCCAUACGGCGAGGCUGGAGCGAUGCAGAGGUCGGUGGAAUUGCCGGUGUAGUGGUGAAAUGCGCAGAUAUCGGGAGGAACACCAAUGGCGAAGGCAGCUUGCUGGGACGGUACUGACGCUGAGACGCGAAAGCGUGGGGAGCAAACAGG